Long non-coding RNA from Puntigrus tetrazona (Sumatra barb), 313 nucleotides. RefSeq lists it as uncharacterized. The transcript is spliced from 3 exons. The record is from RefSeq and is a predicted model, not a curated record. Lineage: Eukaryota; Metazoa; Chordata; Actinopteri; Cypriniformes; Cyprinidae.
CGUCAUGUUGUUCUUUUAAAGGCCUCGAACACCCAGAGUCACAUCAGGACAGCACUGCAGAUCCUGCAGACCCUAACUCUUUCGUUAUGUCUGUAAAUGCAAUUUAUCAGCCAUCAGAUGUUUUGGCCAAUAAACAACAGAAACAGGGAAAUCCAGAGGACAAUGAGAAUGUUUAUCACCUGUACUCCACAAUCCUUGACAAACCAGUUCGCGCAGAAGAUCACGUGUACAGUUUGUUGAACAUGAACCAAUGAAUAUCAUCUGUGUUCAUUAUGUACAGCGAAUAUAAAUAAAGUUUAUAAAGCAGAAAAAA